This 478-nucleotide ribosomal RNA is filed under the name uncultured bacterium. Its description in RNAcentral is "partial 16S ribosomal RNA". It matches the Rfam family "Bacterial small subunit ribosomal RNA", at positions 28 to 523 of the family's 1533-position model. The record is from RNAcentral.
GACGAACGCUGGCGGCGUGCUUAACACAUGCAAGUCGAACAGUAAGGCCCUUCGGGGUACACGAGUGGCGAACGGGUGAGUAACACGUGGGUGAUCUGCCCUGCACUUCGGGAUAAGCCUGGGAAACUGGGUCUAAUACCGGAUAGGACCACUGCCUGCAUGGGUGGUGGUGGAAAGCUUUUGCGGUGUGGGAUGGGCCCGCGGCCUAUCAGCUUGUUGGUGGGGUGAUGGCCUACCAAGGCGACGACGGGUAGCCGGCCUGAGAGGGUGACCGGCCGCACGGGGAGUGAGAUACGGCACAGACUCCUACGGGAGGCAGCAGUGGGGAAUAUUGCACAAUGGGCGCAAGCCUGAUGCAGCGACGCCGCGUGAGGGAUGACGGCCUUCGGGUUGUAAACCUCUUUCAGCACCGACGAAGCGCAAGUGACGGUAGGUGCAGAAGAAGGACCGGCUAACUACGUGCCAGCAGCCGCCGUAA